RNAcentral lists this transfer RNA (73 nucleotides) under Ailuropoda melanoleuca (giant panda). It matches the Rfam family "tRNA". Rfam says of the family: Transfer RNA (tRNA) molecules are approximately 80 nucleotides in length. Lineage: Eukaryota; Metazoa; Chordata; Mammalia; Carnivora; Ursidae. The record is from Rfam by way of RNAcentral.
GCCUGGCUGGCUCAGUCGGAAGAGCAUGAGACUCUUGAUCUCGGGGUCAUGAGUUCGAGCCCCACGUUGGGUG